This 72-nucleotide transfer RNA is filed under the name Cronartium ribicola 11-2. Its description in RNAcentral is "tRNA-Glu (CTC) (tRNA-Glu-CTC-3-1)". It matches the Rfam family "tRNA". From Rfam's summary of the family: Transfer RNA (tRNA) molecules are approximately 80 nucleotides in length. Their secondary structure includes four short double-helical elements and three loops (D, anti-codon, and T loops). Further hydrogen bonds mediate the characteristic L-shaped molecular structure. tRNAs have two regions of fundamental functional importance: the anti-codon, which is responsible for specific mRNA codon recognition, and the 3' end, to which the tRNAs corresponding amino acid is attached (by aminoacyl-tRNA synthetases). tRNAs cope with the degeneracy of the genetic code in two manners: having more than one tRNA (with a specific anti-codon) for a particular amino acid; and 'wobble' base-pairing, i.e. permitting non-standard base-pairing at the 3rd anti-codon position. The record is from RNAcentral. Lineage: Eukaryota; Fungi; Basidiomycota; Pucciniomycetes; Pucciniales; Coleosporiaceae.
GUGUCUGUAGCCUAGUGGUAAAAGGCAGCACUCUCGAUGCUGAGGUUGUGGGUUUGAAUCCCACCAGACACA